UACGGAGGGGGCUAGCGUUGUUCGGAAUUACUGGGCGUAAAGCGCACGUAGGUGGCUUUGUAAGUUAGAGGUGAAAGCCCGGGGCUCAACCCCGGAAUUGCCUUUAAGACUGCAUCGCUAGAACGUCGGAGAGGUGAGUGGAAUUCCGAGUGUAGAGGUGAAAUUCGUAGAUAUUCGGAAGAACACCAGUGGCGAAGGCGACUCACUGGACGACUGUUGACACUGAGGUGCGAAAGCGUGGGGAGCAAACAGG
RNAcentral lists this ribosomal RNA (253 nucleotides) under uncultured bacterium. RNAcentral's name for it is "partial 16S ribosomal RNA". It matches the Rfam family "Bacterial small subunit ribosomal RNA", at positions 524 to 776 of the family's 1533-position model. The record is from RNAcentral.